This 933-nucleotide long non-coding RNA is filed under the name Coturnix japonica (Japanese quail). RNAcentral's name for it is "lncRNA (ENSCJPG00005014731.1)". Lineage: Eukaryota; Metazoa; Chordata; Aves; Galliformes; Phasianidae. The record is from RNAcentral.
AUGUCAGAAGUGGGCACCUCCCUGGGGACAGGAGAGAAAUCACAGCCUCACUUCUUCCUGCCCACUGCAGCCAAAGCUCAUGCUAAGGAAGAAAAGGUUCAGAACAGAAGUAUGCAGAGCAAAGAACACGGUGGGAACAGAAGAGUCACAGGUAGAUUCAUUUCUAUGUUAACUUCACUGGGCUGGAUGCCCAUGACCUCUUUUUUCUUGAGUGUCCACAUUUAUUUCCAAGCUCAGUUCAAUCAAUUUACUGCUCCUUGUGUUGAGCACUUUAUCCCCUUGAUGUCAGCGCCUUGCUGUUAACUCUACAACAUGUGCUUUGAAAGUGGGUUCAAGCGAUCUGUAUUGGUGAAAUGAGACACUUGUAUUGCCAUUUUUGUUUCACUGGUUUGUGAUUUAUUGACUUCACUACUGACGGAUAAGUUAUGGGAAUUCUCUAAACCACUGACCAAUGGCUUGUAGGAGGCCGUAUCAGGGGAAGGCUUUGCAUAUAUAUCCUUCUCUACAUAUACACAUUAAUCAGGGCAGAAGGAUGAGCAAACCUCUACUCUUAUGUAGAAGGCAGUCCCAUGAGCAGCAAACCAGCAUCUGUCAGUCACUUCAAAUGCAGCUCAUCAUACUUUAACUUUUCCCUUUGUUCUCUGCCUUUUAUCCUUCUUAUGGCUUAACAGGCCACACAAAACAGAGGCUCUUCCUGGCUUUUCAGAGCAGGCACUUAGCGGCAUCUUGUGCAGUAGCUCAAUCUUAGACGAAAGAAAUGUUCCCCCAGCCUCUGGGGAAGAAAAAAAGCAGUAACAAAUUGCAGAAGGUUUAUUUAAACAUGGCUGUUUAUUUUUAUUGGAGAUUGAGUUACCUUCCCUUAUAGGAGUAAUGUUUUGGAAUCCUCAGUUCGCCUACAAUAAAUCUCAGUUUCCAAAGAAAAGGAAUGAAGCU